This 463-nucleotide ribosomal RNA is filed under the name uncultured bacterium. Its description in RNAcentral is "bacterial SSU rRNA". It matches the Rfam family "Bacterial small subunit ribosomal RNA", at positions 1 to 507 of the family's 1533-position model. The record is from RNAcentral.
UUCGCCCUUAGAGUUUGAUCCUGGCUCAGAACGAACGCUGGCGGCAUGCCUAACACAUGCAAGUCGAACGAGACCUUCGGGUCUAGUGGCGCACGGGUGCGUAACGCGUGGGAAUCUGCAUUUUGCUUACUAAUAACACUAAAAAAUGACUGCUAAUACCGGAUGAUGCCCUCGGACCAAAUAUUUAUCGACGAAGGAUGAGCCCUCAUACGAUGACGUAGUUGGCGGAGUAAAGGACUACCAAACCUACUAUCCUUACCUGGUAAGACAGAAUAAUCAUCCCUACCGGGACAGAAACACGGCUGAUACUCCUAAGGGAGGCAGAGCUGAGUAACAUUGUACAGUGCGUAAAAUCCCGAGCAAAAAAUCUUUCCUAAGUGAAGAACGUCUUCAGUCACUCAAGCUCUUUGGAUCAGGAUGAUAAUCCAUUGUACCUGAAUAAUAACUGCUGGCUAACUCAGUG